GAUGAACGCUGGCGGCGUGCCUAAUACAUGCAAGUCGAGCGAACGGACGAGAAGCUUGCUUCUCUGAUGUUAGCGGCGGACGGGUGAGUAACACGUGGAUAACCUACCUAUAAGACUGGGAUAACUUCGGGAAACCGGAGCUAAUACCGGAUAAUAUUUUGAACCGCAUGGUUCAAAAGUGAAAGACGGUCUUGCUGUCACUUAUAGAUGGAUCCGCGCUGCAUUAGCUAGUUGGUAAGGUAACGGCUUACCAAGGCAACGAUGCAUAGCCGACCUAAGAGGGUGAUCGGCCACACUGGAACUGAGACACGGUCCAGACUCCUACGGGAGGCAGCAGUAGGGAAUCUUCCGCAAUGGGCGAAAGCCUGACGGAGCAACGCCGCGUGAGUGAUGAAGGUCUUCGGAUCGUAAAACUCUGUUAUUAGGGAAGAACAUAUGUGUAAGUAACUGUGCACAUCUUGACGGUACCUAAUCAGAAAGCCACGGCUAACUACGUGCCAGCAGCCGCGGUAAUACGUAGGUGGCAAGCGUUAUCCGGAAUUAUUGGGCGUAAAGCGCGCGUAGGCGGUUUUUUAAGUCUGAUGUGAAAGCCCACGGCUCAACCGUGGAGGGUCAUUGGAAACUGGAAAACUUGAGUGCAGAAGAGGAAAGUGGAAUUCCAUGUGUAGCGGUGAAAUGCGCAGAGAUAUGGAGGAACACCAGUGGCGAAGGCGACUUUCUGGUCUGUAACUGACGCUGAUGUGCGAAAGCGUGGGGAUCAAACAGG
Molecule: ribosomal RNA, 766 nt
Filed under: Staphylococcus aureus
Lineage: Bacteria; Bacillati; Bacillota; Bacilli; Caryophanales; Staphylococcaceae
Description: bacterial SSU rRNA
Rfam family: Bacterial small subunit ribosomal RNA
Source: RNAcentral